RNAcentral lists this ribosomal RNA (678 nucleotides) under uncultured fungus. RNAcentral's name for it is "eukaryotic LSU rRNA". The stretch from base 140 to 293 matches the Rfam family "5.8S ribosomal RNA". The record is from RNAcentral. Lineage: Eukaryota; Fungi.
CAGUAGUGCACUCUUAACAAAACCAAUAUCCACCCUGCUGCACCUUCUGUAGGCAGGGUCUUAUUCAAGCUCUGUCUAUGUAUCUUAACAAACUCAAUUGACUGAAUGCUAUGCAUAUACUUUAAUGUGAUUGUAACACAACUUUCAACAACGGAUCUCUUGGCUCUCGCAUCGAUGAAGGACGCAGCGAAAUGCGAUAAGUAAUGUGAAUUGCAGAAUUCAGUGAAUCAUCGAAUCUUUGAACGCACCUUGCACCCUUUGGUAUUCCGAAGGGUAUGCCUGUUUGAGUGUCUUGAAACUCUCAAAACCCGAGCCUUUUGUUAAGAUCGGCUCUGGGCUUUUGGACUUGGGCGUCUUUUUUGCCGGCUUUGCUUCGGCUCGUCCCAAAUGCAUUAGCUGACCUCUGUAGUGGUUUCGCUUGCUCGGUGUGAUAAGUAUCACUCGCUGAGUUUGGAACCGCAGGAGGGGUUGCUUCCAGUCGUCCGCAAGGACAACCAUUCAAGUGUUUGACCUCAAAUCAGGUAGGACUACCCGCUGAACUUAAGCAUAUCAAUAAGCGGAGGAAAAGAAACUAACAAGGAUUCCCCUAGUAACGGCGAGUGAAGCGGGAAAAGCUCAAAUUUGUAAUCUGGCGGUCUCUGGCCGUCCGAGUUGUAUUCUAGAGAAGUGUUAUCCGUG